CUAAAAACAAAACAUUAAAGACACUCUUCAUCAUUCUCUUCCUCUCCCCCAAAGCUACUCAGUCACUAGAGACCCCUCACAACUCAGACCUCUCCUAUCCCUCUCCAACGCUUCUCUAGCAAACUCAGGAACCCCAUCUCUUAGGCACCACUGUUCUCCUGUUUUCAAUCCCUCGGCAGCCAGCAAGUGAGCGACUUCGUUCACCGUUCUAGGGCAAUAUUUGAAUAUACAGAGAGUGCAUCUCCUUCAACCUCCGUAUCCAUUAGUCCCACCUGGAUACUUUGAAUGCAUGCAAUCGCUUCUACCGCAAAGACUGAAGGCUGCGUCAAAAUUGAUUUUUACGAACGGGGGCUUCGAUGGUUGCCAACUCUCCGACUCCACACGCUGAACAGACCAUAGAGCAGAUACGAACAUUCUACACUAGUUAUUGGUGUUAUGCUCAAAGAACCAGGUAAUCCACUCCAAUAUCUCUAUACUUGACACCCUUUCUGGUCAGGACCAGCCUAAAUGAUUCCAUAUAUCUUUUGUCUCAGGGCACUCACGCAGCGCAUGGAUACUGGUUUCAACUCCACCUGCACAUCUCGGACAGAGACUAGAAUUAGUAACUAUUCUAUAAUGUAGAUUACAUAGGGUAGAAAGAUAACUUUUUGAGAUUCGCCAUAUUGUAAUUUUCAGUUAGAGGGUAAUUUUAAGCCUCACUUUUUCUUUUUUUUUUGUAAAAAUCCCCUAUUUCUGCCUUAUUGUAUACAUGUGUAACCUCUUUACUCUGCUGUAAUAGAGCUUUGUAUGCGCUUUGGACUGUGAA
This is a long non-coding RNA of Gossypium raimondii (Peruvian cotton), 805 nucleotides long. RefSeq lists it as uncharacterized. The transcript is spliced from 4 exons. The record is from RefSeq and is a predicted model, not a curated record. NCBI's taxonomy places the organism in Eukaryota, Viridiplantae, Streptophyta, Magnoliopsida, Malvales, Malvaceae.